RNAcentral lists this transfer RNA (89 nucleotides) under Scleropages formosus (Asian bonytongue). It matches the Rfam family "tRNA". From Rfam's summary of the family: Transfer RNA (tRNA) molecules are approximately 80 nucleotides in length. Their secondary structure includes four short double-helical elements and three loops (D, anti-codon, and T loops). Further hydrogen bonds mediate the characteristic L-shaped molecular structure. tRNAs have two regions of fundamental functional importance: the anti-codon, which is responsible for specific mRNA codon recognition, and the 3' end, to which the tRNAs corresponding amino acid is attached (by aminoacyl-tRNA synthetases). tRNAs cope with the degeneracy of the genetic code in two manners: having more than one tRNA (with a specific anti-codon) for a particular amino acid; and 'wobble' base-pairing, i.e. permitting non-standard base-pairing at the 3rd anti-codon position. Lineage: Eukaryota; Metazoa; Chordata; Actinopteri; Osteoglossiformes; Osteoglossidae. The record is from Rfam by way of RNAcentral.
CCUUUGAUAGCUCAGUUGGUAGUGCAGCGGCCUGUAGUGGGGUGAACAUCGUCAUUCUUAGGUUGCUAGGUCGAAUCUGGCUCGAAGGA